GAAAUGCGUUAAGUAGUGUGAAUUGCAGAAUUCAGUGAAUCAUCGAAUCUUUGAACGCACAUUGCGCCCCUUGGUAUUCCAUGGGGCAUGCCUGUUCGAGCGUCAUUUGUACCCUCAAGCUCUGCUUGGUGUUGGGUGUUUGUCCCGUCUCCGCGCGUGGACUCGCCCCAAAGUGAUUGGCAGCCGGCGUACUGGUCCCGGAGCGCAGCACAUGUCGCGCAAACGAGUGCCUUGGUACGGCGGCGUCCAUAAGCCCCUCUCUCACGCUCUUGACCUCGGAUCAGGUAGGGAUACCCGCUGAACUUGAGC
RNAcentral lists this unclassified non-coding RNA (309 nucleotides) under plant metagenome. RNAcentral's name for it is "partial contains 5.8S ribosomal RNA, internal transcribed spacer 2, and large subunit ribosomal RNA". The stretch from base 1 to 105 matches the Rfam family "5.8S ribosomal RNA", at positions 50 to 154 of the family's 154-position model. The record is from RNAcentral.